RNAcentral lists this non-coding RNA (117 nucleotides) under Nomascus leucogenys (northern white-cheeked gibbon). The record is from Rfam by way of RNAcentral. Lineage: Eukaryota; Metazoa; Chordata; Mammalia; Primates; Hylobatidae.
GCCGGGCGUGGUGGCUCACGCCUGUAAUCCCAGCACUUUGGGAGGCAGAGGCAGGUGGCUCGCUUGAGGUCAGGAGUUCAAGACCAGCUUGGCCAACAUGGUGAAACCCUGUCUCUA